RNAcentral lists this long non-coding RNA (688 nucleotides) under Olea europaea subsp. europaea. Lineage: Eukaryota; Viridiplantae; Streptophyta; Magnoliopsida; Lamiales; Oleaceae. The record is from RNAcentral.
CAAGAAUCCACAUUAUUCAUUACAAAGGAAUCAGAAUUACAGAUAGAUUUGAAGGUAUCACAUUCAUUUCCCAUAGUACUGUCAUAGAUGUAAAGGCCACCAACACGUUUACCCCUGCCAAUCAUCUUCAAGUUGCAUAGAUCUUGAAUAUCACAACAAUCAGUGAGAAACCUGACACUUAUAGAGGAUUUUCCAGUAAGUGCACUAAUGGAUAGUUUCCUUGAGACUGAUCUGGAAUAUGACCAGAAAUUUGAUUAGCAGCAGUAGUAUUUGGAUGAGGAAUAUAACCUGUGUGGCUACUUGAUCCAUCUUUCAGCUUUGACUUGUAUCUUGGUGGAUAUCCAUGGAGUUUAUAACACUUAUCAAUCGUAUGUCCUCCAUAUCCACAGUAUGUACAAAUUGGCCUGUCUUUCUUUUGACUCCUGCCGUGAAAUGAUUGCCCUGUGCCUGCUCUUUUCACAUCAUUUCUUGUAUAGAAAGCCAAGGAAUCAGCAGUUCCAAUAGUCAGAUUAAUGGUUCUUUGAUGUUCCUUUUGUGAAAUAAGUGUAAACACCUUGUUUAUUGGUGGAAUUGGAUCCAUUAGUAAUAGUUGCCCUCUCAAUUGGGCAUAAGAGUUAUUCAAUCCCAUUAGGAAUGACAUGACGUAUCCCAUAUGGUGAUGCUCUGCCAACCUUUUGUUACCCCUACA